CUUAUGUUUCUAUCUAAUAUUAAUCUUGAAUAAGACUUGUUGCCAUGAAUUGAAAUACUCUUAUGUUUUGAGCAGUAAAAUCUUUCAUUCACGCUAAAAAGAAAAAAUAUUAAGUUUCAUGUAUUUUCGGUUGGCUGUGUUUUUGAGGUUAGCACCAGUAACUAAACCAGGUUAUGGUAGGGAGAGGUUUAAACCAACCCUUCAAGGUCUGUUUUUGAGGGUAGUAUCGGUAACUAAACCAGGUUAUGGUAGGGAGAGGUUUAAACCAACCCUUCAAGGUCUGUUUUUGAGGGUACUAUCGGUAACUAAACCAGGUUAUGGUAGGGAGAGGUUUAAACCAACCCUUCAAGGUCUGUUUUUGAGGGUAGUAUCGGUAACUAAACCAGGUUAUGGUAGGGAGAGGUUUAAACCAACCCUUCAAGGUCUGUUUUUGAGGGUAGUAUCGGUAACUAAACCAGGUUAUGGUAGGGAGAGGUUUAAACCAACCCUUCAAGGUCUGUUUUUGAGGGUACUAUCGGUAACUAAACCAGGUUAUGGUAGGGAGAGGUUUAAACCAACCCUUCAAGGUCUGUUUUUGAGGGUAGUAUCGGUAACUAAACCAGGUUAUGGUAGGGAGAGGUUUAAACCAACCCUUCAAGGUCUGUUUUUGAGGGUACUAUCGGUAACUAAACCAGGUUAUGGUAGGGAGAGGUUUAAACCAACCCUUCAAGGUCUGAGAAUAUUGCCGUCUGUCAUGCCGGAGAACAAACCAUUUCUGCUAAUGUUGAAGAUGACUGCCAUUUAUUAAAAAACAAUAUCAAUCUUGUUAUUUUGCAUCUUUGCCAUGUAACCUAUGAAAUAAAUACACUGUAUCCUA
Oncorhynchus keta (chum salmon) is the source of this 856-nucleotide long non-coding RNA. RefSeq lists it as uncharacterized. The record is from RefSeq and is a predicted model, not a curated record. The transcript has 2 exons. Lineage: Eukaryota; Metazoa; Chordata; Actinopteri; Salmoniformes; Salmonidae.